RNAcentral lists this ribosomal RNA (439 nucleotides) under uncultured bacterium. RNAcentral describes it as "partial 16S ribosomal RNA". It matches the Rfam family "Bacterial small subunit ribosomal RNA", at positions 339 to 795 of the family's 1533-position model. The record is from RNAcentral.
CUACGGGGGGCAGCAGUAGGGAAUCUUAGACAAUGGGGGAAACCCUGAUCUAGCCAUGCCGCGUGAGUGAUGAGGGCCUUAGGGUUGUAAAGCUCUUUCGCUGGGGAAGAUAAUGACGGUACCCAGUAAAGAAACCCCGGCUAACUCCGUGCCAGCAGCCGCGGUAAUACGGAGGGGGUUAGCGUUGUUCGGAAUUACUGGGCGUAAAGCGCGCGUAGGCGGGCUAUUAAGUCAGGGGUGAAAUCCCGGGGCUCAACCCCGGAACUGCCUUUGAUACUGGUAGUCUUGAGUUCGAGAGAGGUGAGUGGAAUUCCGAGUGUAGAAGUGAAAUUCGUAGAUAUUCGGAGGAACAUCAGUGGCGAAGGCGACUCACUGGCUCGAUACUGACGCUGAGGUGCGAAAGUGUGGGGAGCAAACAGGAUUAGAUACCCCCGUAGUC